CCCUUCUUUUUUUUCUCAUUUACCCUUUUCUUUUUUCUUCCUUAUUUAUUGCAUUUACCUUUGUCUUCUGCCUUUCUUUUUUGCAAAACCUUCAUCUACAAAGUCUCCAUCAUCAUCAUCUUCAUAUAAGCGAAUACACAAAGGUCUAGGAAACUGCAUCACAGCUCCAAAGAAGACAAAUAUGUUCAAAGUUCCAUAAGUUAUCACAAUUAAAUGUUAAAGUUCUUUUUAUCGGUUUACUAAAGUUUUCCUUGUAUAUGAUUUUUUUCCGUUUUUUAUCCAGGCCAAAAGAAAGUCCAACGGUGUCCCUUUUUUGACACACUUUGAGAUGUGUCUAGUGCGUAUCCAGAUGUAUCGGUGGCGUAUCCGUGUCAGAUACCAGUAUGACAUUGAUAUGAAAGGGUUUUUUACGUAUCGAUGCUUCAUAGCUAGCUGGUUUAAUGGUUUACAGCUGACUUGUAUACUUAAUUUUAUUUCUAUCAAUAAAAUAUGGCGUUUCAAUUUUUAUAAUUUACACAUUAAAUAAAAUAAUUGAAAUAAUAAAAUCCUUUUGAAAUAAUUAAUUAAUUAAUAUUGAAUAUAUAAUAGGCCCAUUUCACCCGGGCCCAUUAGAAUAAACAAAAAAUAAAAAACUUCAAAAAUAAUAAAAGUCCAUUGGUCCAAAAAAAGGUCCAUUAGUCUAGUUACAUAAAAUAACCACCCAACCCAAUUACGAAAAUAACUUAUGACCCAAUAAGCCCUAAAACCUGAGGCCCAAUACCCCCAAAAAUUAUCUCAGCAUCCUGAGAAUGCCAAAAGCUUUUGGAGUAAGCCAGAAGGGCACCAGAAGGUCAGCCUCUCGCGAGAAAUUGCCACGCUCGGUCUCCACGUCACCAGGGUCGUUCCUCUGUACGGACGUUCCUGCAAAAAACACACGAGAAGAGAGAUAACCGAAUUCACAAAAGAUGACGGCAAUGAAAAUGUAAUUUUGUUUUUUUACUUUAUUCUGUAAAUCCGGCUAUAAAAGCCGUUGAAUGUACUCCAAAAAGGGAACCUACGCUCACUGUAUCUAUAACACGCACAGAGAAUAGAGAAAAAGCAAUUUAAGAUUAGCAAAGGUGAUUUCAAGUUUUCUUUUGUCCUCUCUUAUGAUUUUUUUAGUUUUUUUUUCAUUUGGUUCGGAUUUUUUUUAGUAUGUGAGUCGAUCCCAAUGAAAGCCCGAAUACUUCAGAAAUACUGAGGCAAAGGCGAGGGAACAAAUAGUUUUGAAUCUUUGCUUUAUGAACCUAUCUUCGUUUUUUUUUUUAAAAUAAUGUGAGAUUUGAAGUUUUUUUUUUUAAAUAAAAAAGGGAGGAAGAAAAUACUUACUAAAUCUCUCUAGGCAUGGUCGAGCGCCUUCAACGGGGAUGAUGGGUACUGUUUGCGUACUGUUGAUCACCAAAAUAAUGGUGGUUCGGCUGCUAGCAAAAGAAACCCUAGAAUUUUGAUUUCAAGGCUGUGAUUUUCGGCCAAAAAUGGGGCUGCGUUUGAAAAGGGAAAUGGGGAAAGAAAGGUUUUAAGUAACCUUUUAACAAAACGGUGUCGUUUGUAAUAUUGAGAAAGGUCCGCGCGGUGACUCAUUUGGCAGGCCCAAUCUGCGCAUUACCACUCAAAAUGGGGAAUUUGCGCAAAAAAUCCUUCCCCUUGCGCACAGCCUUCAAUUUGCGCCCAAUUUGCCUACCUUAUGUUUUAAAAUUUGGCCUUCUAAUUUGUGCGUUGUUUCACUUUGAUCCGCGGUUCAUUGCAGCAUUGUGGGCGCGAGAUAUUUACAAUUUCAGUCCCCAUACAUUUAUGCGCUUUGAGAAUUGGUCCAUGUUAUGAUUACUUUAUUUCCAAAUUAUCCUCCCUAUUUUAUUGUAGUAUUAAUUUGGUCUUAUAGUUGUAUAAUCGGUUAAUUUAAAAUAUAUUUAAUAUGUUU
RNAcentral lists this long non-coding RNA (1936 nucleotides) under Gossypium barbadense (sea-island cotton). Its description in RNAcentral is "long non-coding RNA (GBAR_LNC008316)". The record is from RNAcentral. Lineage: Eukaryota; Viridiplantae; Streptophyta; Magnoliopsida; Malvales; Malvaceae.